AGCAGCCGAAGCAAACCUUCUAGACAGCAAGCACGAAGAGGGUUGGGGUGACAGGGCUGGGAAGGAAAAACUUUAAUUUCAUGACUGUUUUUCUUGUUUGAUUAGAUACAAAAGGUUGUUGAAUUUAUUUCUAAUGGCAGGUCUCGAAGAGGUGGGCAUUCCGGGUCGGGAGUUUCUUCGCGAGGCUUUGACCAACUGUUCAGACCCACUGCGCGCAAUUGAAGAGUUUCAAGAAGAAAAUGGAAUUCUGUUGCCGUCUUUACGUCCUAUGUUGCCGCUGCUUGAUUUGCAUGGUGUGUGCAGGCUUGAGUUCCAUACAUCUGUGUUGGAAGAGCUAAAGGAGCGCCUUCUACAGCAAAUUGAAAACCUCGGCAGGCAAGAAGGACGCGAGAAAGAGAAAAAGCUCAAAGAGAUGUUGCAGAAAAGCUUUCCAGUAAUCAAGGUCCCAGCGCUUCGUCCAGUGGUUAUGUGCAUACUGAAAAAUAUGGAGCACGUGGAAGAGAAAUACCUGAAGCAAUUGGUCAGCGAUAAAACCCUUUACAAAGAAUGUGAUGUUCAGGUGAAGCGUCAGAUUUGGCAAGAGCACCAGAGCCUCUUUGGCGAUGAGGUGCUGCCACUGCUUUCACAGUACAUCCGGGAAAAGGAAGAAGCACUGUGGAGCUUGUCACCACCACCAACAGCUGGUGGUGCCUCAGCCGAGGCAUCAUCUUUCUUUGGACCGUCACCCAAGCAGCGUAGGCAGGGGGCCGUUUUGCAGCGCCUGCUUGUAAUGGUGGGCCGCAACGUGGUCCUCUAUGACAUGGUGCUCCAAUUUGUGCGCACACUCUUUCUUCGAACACGCAACGUCCACUACUGCACUUUGCGUGUGGAGCUCCUCAUGGCCCUGCAUGACUUGGAGAUCCAGGACAUUACAGCUGUUGACCCUUGCCACAAGUUCUCCUGGUGCCUUGAUGCCUGCAUCCGGGAGAAAAACGUGGACACCAAGCGAUCUCGGGAGCUUCAAGGCUUUCUUGACAGCAUCAAGAGAGGCCAAGAACAAGUGUUGGGUGACCUAUCCAUGACACUUUGUGAUCCAUAUGCCAUCAACUUCCUUGCACAGUCAGCUUUGAAGAUCAUCAACCAUCUUAUUAACAUCGAAGGACUUCCAAGGGACAACCAGGUACUGGUGUUGCUGUUGCGUAUGUUGGCUCUUGGGCUUCAGGCAUGGGACAUGAUAAGUACCCAGCAGUACAAGGAGCCAAAGCUGGAUGUGCAGCUUAUCACCAAGUUUUUACCAGCUCUUAUGUCUCUCAUGGUUGAUGACCAGGUACGAAGCCUGAGUUCCCGACUGCCCCAGGACGACCGAGAGUCAGCCAUCACAACUAUUGAGCACUCAGGACCACCUCCCGAUGCAUAUCAGGCUUAUGUUCAGGAGAAUGCAGUGGCCAGCGUGCUGGCACUCUAUUACACUUUUCACACUGCUCGCCAACGUGAUCGAACUGGCGUAAUGAGAGUUCUGGGCACCUUGGCGGGAGCGGAGGGCCAACGCGCCUACCAGGAUCCAUUCCUGCACACUCUGGUUGGCCACUUGGCUCUCAUGGCUGAUGAUUUUGCCCAAGAGGAUUUCUGCACCGUUGUUUUUGACGAGUUCUUCCUCAGUGGCCUGAGUGGCAACGCUUCUGGAGGCAGCACGCCUGCUGCACUUCCCACCACAGAAGGUGCCAGCAGUGCUGCAAGGCAUUUGCUGCGCCUGUUGUGGCAUGUGCAUGCAAAGCUUCCUCCUGCCAGACUUCAAGGCCUCAUGAAGACACUCCAGCCACUUGUCCAGGCCAAUGAAGGUUUGAAACCAGCAGUACAAGCCUUACAAGACAAAGUGAAAGAUUUGACUCCACCAGCAGCAGAACCGGAGUCGUCAGAUUCUCCUCUACUAAGUGUACCUGUGCCCACACCCAUGUGACAAAGCCUAAAUCAGAAAUAUAGCGCAUUGGUUGAGGAUAUCUGCGUACAAGACGUAGACUAUGCUUACCAUCGUUGCUUCAUGCCAUUUGUUGACUGUUGGGGGAUGCAGCUUUGUUUUCCAUUUUGCACUGGACGGAUAAGUUUGAGACUGUUAUGACAUUUAUCGUGCACGUCAGAUCAUACAUGUCCUUUUUUUUACUCUUGCAUGCAGCUAAAUAAAUGCACAAGUUACUUCAACUCUAUUUUCUCACAAUGCAUUCAACCUUUAAAUGCCGGCCAUUCUGACAGCAUCGCCAUUUCCACAGCAGUUCAUGCUUCUUUCACCAGCACGAAUUCAUCCAAUAAACAGUUUUUCUAUCUCACCUGA
RNA transcript from Dermacentor albipictus, 2305 nucleotides. It is a transcript of the gene named negative elongation factor B, with no coding region annotated. Lineage: Eukaryota; Metazoa; Arthropoda; Arachnida; Ixodida; Ixodidae. The record is from RefSeq and is a predicted model, not a curated record.